UCGUCAUAACAAAAGGAGACAGAGAGAGAUGCAGGACAACAAGAGAUAAAGAGAGAGAUCCGGCAUUCGGCGCCGAUUAGUCACCGCCCCCGCCCCCGCGCCUCCCGGCGCGUGCUCGCCUCUCACCCGCAUACCCGAUGGUGUAGAAAUUGUUGGUGGCGUCGGUUUAGUCAACUAAAUGUCUGAGUGACGGUGGCUCUUAGUUUAUGUGAAGAAUCGAGGGUUCAGAGGUAGUAGUAGGGUACCGCCAUGAACCAUGGUGACAACGGUGAUGGUGUGGAGGCUGGAAGUCAAAAUAGAGACGGCAUGCAGGGGUAUCACAAGGAUGCCAGCGGCGAAUCGGGUUGCCAUACGUUUAUUGUUGUUGGUUAUCGCUACAGGCCCUGAAACUACCGCGCUGAAGAACGGAUGGGGUGACACAACCUACUAAAGCACCACUGCGCUAUCAAAAAAGGAACCGCAUCCAACGUUUGUUUUUCUCUUUUUUGUUUAAUGUAAAGAACUUAGUAUGUAAACAAUAUGUAAAGAACUUGGUAUGAAAACACUUGAACUCAACUCAACCACGGGCAACAACCCUUUUCAUAA
This is a long non-coding RNA of Helianthus annuus (common sunflower), 585 nucleotides long. RefSeq lists it as uncharacterized. The record is from RefSeq and is a predicted model, not a curated record. NCBI's taxonomy places the organism in Eukaryota, Viridiplantae, Streptophyta, Magnoliopsida, Asterales, Asteraceae. The transcript is spliced from 2 exons.